CUCGCGGGCAAAGACUUGUGUUUCUUGAGCUGCUCCAUUGACAAAACCGUACAUGUGUUUGUUGUUAAAGAUAGAGGUGGAGUGAUAACCAGAGAGUGGCAGAUGAUCAGCAGAAGCAGACAGUAACCAGAUGGCCAUAGGUCAACUGGCCACUAUGGGAAAACAGCAAAGUGUAUCAGGAUACAGGAUGUUCCAUGGAUUGCGUUCUCUCACAACGGUCUCGUCCCCAAUUCAAACCUCCUGUGGGUUAUGAAGCCGAUAUACGGUUUCUACCUCAGCCACCUGACCAUGAAAAGAGUGUCUGACUAUGGAGAGAGGAGGAGGGUCAGUGACACCAGCCAGGGGCACUAGCUGACAAACUGCUGUUACUGAGCACACCAGAGGCAGGGGAAGAAAAAAAGAAAAAAUGGUGGUGGAGGGACAAGAAAGAUGACAGCAGGUGAUAGAGCUCGUUCUCAUAACAUUUUUUCUUCAUGUUAAUUUAAACAGUUUAGAUCAGAGCAGUCAGUCUCUGCAAAAGGAACUUGAAUUGGCGUAUCAUACAAUAGAAUGAUGAAUGGUAACACGUAGUGUAUUUCACAACAUUUGUCAAACAGUCCAUGUCAAGACUGUAUUAUGGGUUCAGAGGAAAUUUUGGUAUCCUAUUACGUUCACCAUUGUUAUGACUUUAUGAGCCAGGUUUUACAGAACGGCACAAAAGGAAGCUUGUCGAAUUAUUGGCUAUUUACCACAAACAGUAAUUUGCGCAACAAUGCCGUGCCAUUCACUCCAUAACUUGCCUGAUAUUGUGUAUCUAUGCUCAUAAUUAGCACUACAAUUGUCGAGAUUGUCCUUGAGGGAACAUACUGUAUUAUGCAGUUUUUAGCUAGAAAAGACAUUAAACCUUAGAGCUAACGCCACCAGCCGAAAAAGA
This is a long non-coding RNA of Danio aesculapii, 913 nucleotides long. RefSeq lists it as uncharacterized. NCBI's taxonomy places the organism in Eukaryota, Metazoa, Chordata, Actinopteri, Cypriniformes, Danionidae. The record is from RefSeq and is a predicted model, not a curated record. The transcript is spliced from 3 exons.